Molecule: ribosomal RNA, 563 nt
Filed under: uncultured bacterium
Lineage: Bacteria
Description: bacterial SSU rRNA
Rfam family: Bacterial small subunit ribosomal RNA
Source: RNAcentral
GAAAUCUUACGACUGCCCGNUNAUGUCAUCUAAAAUGGUUCGUUGAUUUCNAUGGUCUCAGACUCGGACCCGCUGCNGUGUAGCAUGCCUAACACAUGCAAGUCGCACGAGAAAGUGGAGCAAUCCAUGAGUAAAGUGGCGCACGGGUGAGUAACACGUGAAUUAUCUACCUCCGAGUGGGGAAUAACCUGGAGAAAUCCGGGCUAAUACCGCAUAACACUUACGAGUCAAAGCAGCAAUGCGCUUGGAGAGGAGUUCGCGGCCGAUUAGUUAGUUGGUGGGGUAAUGGCCUACCAAGACGAUGAUCGGUAUCCGGCCUGAGAGGGCGCACGGACACACUGGAACUGAAACACGGUCCAGACUCCUACGGGAGGCAGCAGUGGGGAAUUUUGCGCAAUGGGGGAAACCCUAGACGCAGCAACGCCGCGUGGAGGAUGAAAUCCCUUGGGAUGUAAACUCCUUUCGAUCGGGACGAUUAUGACGGUACCGGAAGAAGAAGCCCCGGCUAACUUCGUGCCAGCAGCCGCGGUAAUACGAGGGGGGCAAGCGUUGUUCGGAAUUAU